ACUACGGGUGGCAGCAGUGGGGGAUAUUGCACAAUGGGGGGAACCCUGAUGCAGCGACGCCGCGUGGGUGAAGAAGCGCCUCGGCGCGUAAAGCCCUGUCAGCAGGGAAGAAAAUGACGGUACCUGAAGAAGAAGCCCCGGCUAACUACGUGCCAGCAGCCGCGGUAAUACGUAGGGGGCAAGCGUUAUCCGGAUUUACUGGGUGUAAAGGGGGCGCAGACGGCGAUGCAAGCCAGGGGUGAAAGCCCGGGGCCCAACCCCGGGACUGCUCUUGGAACUGCGUGGCUGGAGUGCAGGAGGGGCAGGCGGAAUUCCUGGUGUAGCGGUGAAAUGCGUAGAUAUCAGGAGGAACACCGGUGGCGAAGGCGGCCUGCUGGACUGCAACUGACGUUGAGGCCCGAAAGCGUGGGGAGCAAACAGGAUUAGAUACCCGGGUAGUC
This 440-nucleotide ribosomal RNA is filed under the name uncultured bacterium. RNAcentral's name for it is "partial 16S ribosomal RNA". It matches the Rfam family "Bacterial small subunit ribosomal RNA", at positions 338 to 795 of the family's 1533-position model. The record is from RNAcentral.